Molecule: transfer-messenger RNA, 399 nt
Filed under: Prevotellaceae bacterium
Lineage: Bacteria; Pseudomonadati; Bacteroidota; Bacteroidia; Bacteroidales; Prevotellaceae
Rfam family: transfer-messenger RNA
About the family: Bacterial tmRNA, also known as 10Sa RNA or SsrA, is named for its dual tRNA and mRNA-like properties. Its role is to liberate the mRNA from a stalled ribosome.
Source: RNAcentral
GGGGCUGUUUGGUUUUGACAGCAGGUAGAAAGGCUAAGUAAGCAUGUCGAGCAUUGUGACACCGGCUCGUUAAUCUCGGAUCUCAACAAAUUUAAUUGGCGAAAAUCAUUACGCUCUCGCUGCUUAAUCGAAUCACAGUAGAUAAGCUUUAUUUCGGCGCAAGGCGCUGAAACGAGACAUCUCCCAAGCGCCGUAGCCUCGAGGCUGUUUGAUAAGGAGGUGCAGUAAAAUCGGGGAUAGUUUUGUGCAGCCUCGUGUGCAGAACGAAAAUUUAGAGGAUAAGGUGCAAAUUGGUGGCUCCGGUCUUGCUUGCACACGAAAAUUUAGGCGGAGAUAAACAUGUAGAAAACUUAUUUUUUCCUUGUUUGGACGAGGGUUCGACUCCCUCCAGCUCCACAA